Regulatory RNA element from Duganella sp. Root198D2, 85 nucleotides. It matches the Rfam family "SucA RNA motif". NCBI's taxonomy places the organism in Bacteria, Pseudomonadati, Pseudomonadota, Betaproteobacteria, Burkholderiales, Oxalobacteraceae. The record is from Rfam.
GUGCAAUCCGCUAACCGGUCAGGCCGUGUCGCGGAAGGUUUGAACAACCCGCUAAUUCCUCGCGAAGCGCGAAGAAAGGUGAGCA